RNAcentral lists this ribosomal RNA (253 nucleotides) under uncultured bacterium. Its description in RNAcentral is "partial 16S ribosomal RNA". It matches the Rfam family "Bacterial small subunit ribosomal RNA", at positions 524 to 776 of the family's 1533-position model. The record is from RNAcentral.
UACGGGGGGGGCAAGCGUUGUUCGGAAUUACUGGGCGUAAAGGGCUCGUAGGCGGCCAACUAAGUCGGACGUGAAAUCCCUCGGCUCAACCGAGGAACUGCGUCUGAUACUGGUUGGCUUGAAUUCGGGAGAGGGAUGCGGAAUUCCAGGUGUAGCGGUGAAAUGCGUAGAUAUCAGGAGGAACACCAGUGGCGAAGGCGACUCUCUGGUCUGUAACUGACGCUGAGGCGCGAAAGCGUGGGGAGCGAACAGG